Molecule: ribosomal RNA, 459 nt
Filed under: uncultured bacterium
Lineage: Bacteria
Description: partial 16S ribosomal RNA
Rfam family: Bacterial small subunit ribosomal RNA
Source: RNAcentral
CCUACGGGAGGCAGCAGUGAGGAAUAUUGGUCAAUGGCCGCAGGGCUGAACCAGCCAAGUCGCGUGAGUGAUGACGGUCCUAUGGAUUGUAAACCUCUUUUGUAAGGGAGCAAAGGGCGCCACGUGUGGCGUUUUGCGAGUACCUGAAGAAAAAGCAUCGGCUAACUCCGUGCCAGCAGCCGCGGUAAUACGGAGGAUGCGAGCGUUAGCCGAAUUUAUUGGGUUUCAAGGUUACGCAGGCGGAAUGUAAAGUUAGCGGUAAAAUUUCGGGGCUCAACCCCGUAGUGCCGUUGAAACUGGGGUUCUUGAGUGAGCGAGAGGUAUGCGGAAUGCGUGGUGUAGCGGUGAAAUGCAUAGAGAUCACGAAGAACUCCGAUUGCGAAGGCAGCAUACCGGUGCUCAACUGACGCUCAUGCACGAAAGCGUGGGUAUCGAACAGGAUUAGAUACCCCUGUAGUC